RNAcentral lists this ribosomal RNA (253 nucleotides) under uncultured bacterium. RNAcentral describes it as "partial 16S ribosomal RNA". It matches the Rfam family "Bacterial small subunit ribosomal RNA", at positions 524 to 776 of the family's 1533-position model. The record is from RNAcentral.
UACGGAGGGUGCAAGCGUUGUCCGGAAUCACUGGGUGUAAAGGGUGUGUAGGCGGGGCGAUAAGUCUAUGGUGAAAGCCUGCGGCUCAACCGCAGAAUUGCCGUGGAUACUGUCGUUCUUGAGUACCGGAGGGGUCACUGGAAUUCGUGGUGUAGCGGUGAAAUGCGUAGAUAUCACGAGGAACACCGGAGGUGUAGACGGGUGACUGGACGGAGACUGACGCUGAGGCACGAAAGCGUGGGGAGCAAACAGG